This 192-nucleotide unclassified non-coding RNA is filed under the name uncultured fungus. RNAcentral describes it as "sequence contains ITS1". The record is from RNAcentral. Lineage: Eukaryota; Fungi.
UUAACUAUUAUAUAGUACUCAGACGACACAUAAACAGGUUUUAGUUGGGUCUCUGGCGGGCACUUACAGGCGGCAGCCUACAGCAAGAAGCGUCCCGCCAAAGCAACAAGAGAAUAAAAUAUCAAGGGUGGGAGAUCUACCCGUAAGGGCAGGAACUCUGUAAUGAUCCUUCCGCAGGUUCACCUACGGAAA